Molecule: ribosomal RNA, 148 nt
Filed under: Candidatus Poribacteria bacterium
Lineage: Bacteria; Candidatus Poribacteria
Description: partial 23S ribosomal RNA
Rfam family: Bacterial large subunit ribosomal RNA
Source: RNAcentral
AUCUAAGCGGGAAGCCUUUUUCAAGAUGAGAUCUCCCACCGGGAUAACCGGGUAAGGCCCGUGGUAGACCACCACGUUGAUAGGCCGGAGGUGUAAGCACGGCAACGUGUUCAGCCGACCGGUACUAAUCGGCCGAGGGCUUGGUUAC